GACGAACGCUGGCGGCAUGCCUAAUACAUGCAAGUCGAGCGAACAGAUGAAGUGCUUGCACUUCUGACGUUAGCGGCGAACGGGUGAGUAACACGUAAGGAAUCUACCUAUAAGCGGGGGAUAACAUUCGGAAACGGGUGCUAAUACCGCAUAAUAUCUUCUUCCGCAUGGAAGAAGAUUGAAAGACGGCACUGCUGUCACUUAUAGAUGACCUUGCGGUGCAUUAGUUAGUUGGUGGGGUAAUGGCCUACCAAAACGAUGAUGCAUCGACGACCUAAGAUGGUGAUCGGCCAAAUUGGGACUGAGACACGGCCCAAACUCCUACGGGAGGCAGCAGUAGGGAAUCUUCCGCAAUGGGCGAAAGCCUGACGGAGCAAUGCCGCGUGAGUGAAGAAGGCCUUCGGGCCGUAAAACUCUGUUAUAAGAGAAGAACAAAUUGUAGAGUAACUGCUACAGUCUUGACGGUAUCUUAUCAGAAAGCCACGGCUAACUACGUGCCAGCCGCCGCGGUAA
RNAcentral lists this ribosomal RNA (513 nucleotides) under uncultured bacterium. Its description in RNAcentral is "partial 16S ribosomal RNA". It matches the Rfam family "Bacterial small subunit ribosomal RNA", at positions 28 to 523 of the family's 1533-position model. The record is from RNAcentral.